GACGGGGGGUCCUAGCGUUGUUCGGAAUCAUUGGGCGUAAAGCGGGCGUAGGUGGCCAUGUAAGUCGGGAGUGAAAUCCCUGGGCUCAACCCAGGAAGUGCUCUCGAUACUGCUUGGCUUGAAUGUGGAAGAGGAUAGUGGAAUUCCAGGUGUAGUGGUGAAAUACGUAGAUAUCUGGAGGAACACCGGUGGCGAAGGCGGCUAUCUGGUCCAACAUUGACACUGAGGCCCGAAAGCGUGGGGAUCAAACAGG
Molecule: ribosomal RNA, 253 nt
Filed under: uncultured bacterium
Lineage: Bacteria
Description: partial 16S ribosomal RNA
Rfam family: Bacterial small subunit ribosomal RNA
Source: RNAcentral